Molecule: ribosomal RNA, 555 nt
Filed under: uncultured bacterium
Lineage: Bacteria
Description: bacterial SSU rRNA
Rfam family: Bacterial small subunit ribosomal RNA
Source: RNAcentral
AACGCGAAGAACCUUACCUGGGUUUGACAUGGAUCGGGAGCGCUCAGAGAUGGGUGUGCCUCUUUUGGGGUCGGUUCACAGGUGGUGCAUGGCUGUCGUCAGCUCGUGUCGUGAGAUGUUGGGUUAAGUCCCGCAACGAGCGCAACCCUUGUUCACUGUUGCCAGCACGUUAUGGUGGGGACUCAGUGGAGACCGCCGGGGUCAACUCGGAGGAAGGUGGGGGUGACGUCAAGUCAUCAUGCCCCUUAUGUCCAGGGCUUCACGCAUGCUACAAUGGCUGGUACAGAGAGUGGCGAGCCUGUGAGGGUGAGCGAAUCUCGGAAAGCCGGUCUCAGUUCGGAUUGGGGUCUGCAACUCGACCUCAUGAAGUCGGAGUCGCUAGUAAUCGCAGAUCAGCAACGCUGCGGUGAAUACGUUCCCGGGGCUUGUACACACCGCCCGUCAAGUCAUGAAAGUUGGUAACACCCGAAGCCGGUGGCCUAACCGUUGUGGGGAGCCGUCGAAGGUGGGACUGGUGAUUAGGACUAAGUCGUAACAAGGUAACCUUAAUUAAAA